This 497-nucleotide ribosomal RNA is filed under the name uncultured bacterium. RNAcentral's name for it is "partial 16S ribosomal RNA". It matches the Rfam family "Bacterial small subunit ribosomal RNA", at positions 28 to 507 of the family's 1533-position model. The record is from RNAcentral.
GACGAACGCUGGCGGCGUGCCUAAUACAUGCCAGUUGAGCGCUGAAGGUUGGUACUUGUACCAACUGGAUGAGCAGCGAACGGGUGAGUAACGCGUGGGGAAUCUGCCUUUGAGCGGGGGACAACAUUUGGAAACGAAUGCUAAUACCGCAUAAAAACUUUAAACACAAGUUUUAAGUUUGAAAGAUGCAAUUGCAUCACUCAAAGAUGAUCCCGCGUUGUAUUAGCUAGUUGGUGAGGUAAAGGCUCACCAAGGCGAUGAUACAUAGCCGACCUGAGAGGGUGGUUGGCCACAUUGGGACUGAGACACGGACCAAACACCUACGGGAGGAAGCAGUAGGGAAUCGUCGGCGAUGGACGAAAGUCUGACCGAGCAACGCCGCGUGAGUGAAGAAGGGUGUCGGAUCGUAAAACUCUGUUGGUAGAGAAGAACGUUGGUGAGAGUGGAAAGCUCAUCAAGUGACGGUAACUACCCAGAAAGGGACGGCUAACUACGUG